Long non-coding RNA from Sinocyclocheilus anshuiensis, 230 nucleotides. RefSeq lists it as uncharacterized. NCBI's taxonomy places the organism in Eukaryota, Metazoa, Chordata, Actinopteri, Cypriniformes, Cyprinidae. The transcript is spliced from 3 exons. The record is from RefSeq and is a predicted model, not a curated record.
GGGCUUUUGGUCGACACAGUUGUGAAUAAUGAAGAAAUUGUGUGAAAUCACAAAGAAUGUUUUUACACAAGCAUCCGAAUUAUGCACCCACACUGAAAAAUCUGUGCAAACUACGUAUCUCAGUGUUUGAUGAAGAACAGACUGAUGGAAUCAUUGACAAAGUAUUCAGUGUUUUGGCAUUGAAAAUAAAAGCUUAAUCAAGCGUUUCUUAUGUUACGGAAGUCAUGACA